Molecule: long non-coding RNA, 226 nt
Filed under: Lathyrus oleraceus (garden pea)
Lineage: Eukaryota; Viridiplantae; Streptophyta; Magnoliopsida; Fabales; Fabaceae
Description: Pisum sativum (pea) long non-coding RNA (PSAT_LNC018339)
Source: RNAcentral
AAUUUUCGAUCCACAAACAGACAAACCUACGAUCCUAACAUGCCAAACACCCACCAUAUUACCAAGAGCAUACCCUAUACCACCACCAACAAGUAGAUCAUCAUCAAGACACCCAACAUCGCCAUACACCCAACACAUCGCCCUACCAUAGCCGCCUUAGCCAAAACACUCAGCGAUCAUUUAACACCAAUCGUCCAUCCUCUUACUAUAGCCAAAAAGCUCAAAC